CUGACCGUAAACGAUGCCAACUAUCAAUCCGCCAGCAGCUCUCCGUUGCUGGCGGGCGGAUCGACGGAAACGAAAGUCUUUCGGUUCCGGGGGAAGUAUGGUUGCAAAGCUGAAACUUAAAGGAAUUGACGGAAGGGCACCACCAGGAGUGGAGCUUGCGGCUUAAUUUGACUCAACACGGGAAACCUCACCCGGCCAGUACAUCAUAAGGAUUGACAGAUUGAUAGCUCUUUCAUGAUUUGAUGAAUGGUGGUGCAUGGCCGUUCUUAGUUCGUGGCGUGAGUCGUCUGCUUAAUUGCGAUAACGAGCGAGACUCCGACUGUUAAAUAGCACCUUCCUUACUCAGGGUCGGCGGCUUCUUAACUGGAUUCGCGGCUUCAAGCCGCAAGAAAUGGAGCAAUAACAGGUCUGUGAUGCCCUUAGAUGUUCGGGGCCGCACGCGUGCUACAAUGAUGGUAACAGCGUGAUUGUCCUCGCCCGACAGGGCUUGGCAAACAGUUGAGAUAUUAUUAUGGCUGGAAUUGAGUGUUGAAAUUUUCUCUCAUGAACGAGGAAUUCCAAGUAAAUGCGAGUCAUCAACUCGCAUUG
Molecule: ribosomal RNA, 588 nt
Filed under: Aphelenchoidinae sp. 2010_018
Lineage: Eukaryota; Metazoa; Nematoda; Chromadorea; Rhabditida; Aphelenchoididae
Description: SSU rRNA
Rfam family: Eukaryotic small subunit ribosomal RNA
Source: RNAcentral